CCUACGGGUGGCAGCAGUGGGGAAUAUUGGACAAUGGGCGAAAGCCUGAUCCAGCCAUGCCGCGUGUGUGAAGAAGGCCUUCGGGUUGUAAAGCACUUUCAGUGGGGAAGAAAGCCUUGGGGCUAAUACCCUCGAGGAAGGACAUCACCCACAGAAGAAGCACCGGCUAACUCCGUGCCAGCAGCCGCGGUAAUACGGAGGGUGCGAGCGUUAAUCGGAAUUACUGGGCGUAAAGCGCGCGUAGGCGGUCUGAUAAGCCGGUUGUGAAAGCCCCGGGCUCAACCUGGGAACGGCAUCCGGAACUGUCAGGCUAGAGUGCAGGAGAGGAAGGUAGAAUUCCCGGUGUAGCGGUGAAAUGCGUAGAGAUCGGGAGGAAUACCAGUGGCGAAGGCGGCCUUCUGGACUGACACUGACGCUGAGGUGCGAAAGCGUGGGUAGCAAACAGGAUUACAUACCCGAGUAGUC
This 465-nucleotide ribosomal RNA is filed under the name Vreelandella stevensii. RNAcentral describes it as "partial 16S ribosomal RNA". It matches the Rfam family "Bacterial small subunit ribosomal RNA", at positions 338 to 795 of the family's 1533-position model. The record is from RNAcentral. Lineage: Bacteria; Pseudomonadati; Pseudomonadota; Gammaproteobacteria; Oceanospirillales; Halomonadaceae.